GACAGAGGUGCCAAGCGUUAGGCGGAAUCACUGGGCUUAAAGCGUGUGUAGGCGGAUCGUUAAGUACCUUGUGAAAUCCCACGGCUUAACCGUGGAACUGCUCGGUAUACUGGCGGUCUUGAGCAACCUAGGGGCGAGCGGAACAAAUGGUGGAGCGGUGAAAUGCGUAGAUAUCAUUUGGAACGCCAAUGGUGAAAACAGCUCGCUGGGGGUUUGCUGACGCUGAGACACGAAAGCCAGGGGAGCAAACGGGG
This 254-nucleotide ribosomal RNA is filed under the name uncultured bacterium. RNAcentral's name for it is "partial 16S ribosomal RNA". It matches the Rfam family "Bacterial small subunit ribosomal RNA", at positions 524 to 777 of the family's 1533-position model. The record is from RNAcentral.